RNAcentral lists this ribosomal RNA (301 nucleotides) under uncultured bacterium. RNAcentral describes it as "partial 16S ribosomal RNA". It matches the Rfam family "Bacterial small subunit ribosomal RNA", at positions 509 to 807 of the family's 1533-position model. The record is from RNAcentral.
CAGCAGCCGCGGGAAUACGUAGGUGGCAAGCGUUGUCCGGAAUUAUUGGGCGUAAAGGGCUCGCAGGCGGUUUCUUAAGUCUGAUGUGAAAGCCCCCGGCUCAACCGGGGAGGGUCAUUGGAAACUGGGAAACUUGAGUGCAGAAGAGGAGAGUGGAAUUCCACGUGUAGCGGUGAAAUGCGUAGAGAUGUGGAGGAACACCAGUGGUGAAGGCGACUCUCUGGUCUGUAACUGACGCUGAGGAGCGAAAGCGUGGGGAGCAAACAGGAUUAGAUACCCCUGUAGUCCCUGUCUCUUAUAC